AGGAUAAUAGUUAAAUAUAACAUUUAAUUUGCAUUUAAAAAGUAUUGAUUUUUCAAUUUAUCUUU
This 65-nucleotide transfer RNA is filed under the name Chrysomeloidea sp. 6 KM-2017. RNAcentral describes it as "tRNA-Ala". It matches the Rfam family "tRNA". Rfam says of the family: Transfer RNA (tRNA) molecules are approximately 80 nucleotides in length. Their secondary structure includes four short double-helical elements and three loops (D, anti-codon, and T loops). The record is from RNAcentral. Lineage: Eukaryota; Metazoa; Arthropoda; Insecta; Coleoptera.